Molecule: ribosomal RNA, 352 nt
Filed under: uncultured Racocetra
Lineage: Eukaryota; Fungi; Glomeromycota; Glomeromycetes; Diversisporales; Gigasporaceae
Description: SSU rRNA
Rfam family: Eukaryotic small subunit ribosomal RNA
Source: RNAcentral
AUCCGCCGCGGUAAUUCCAGCUCCAAUAGCGUAUAUUAAAGUUGUUGCAGUUAAAAAGCUCGUAGUUGAAUUUCGGGGUUCUACCGUUGGUCGGGCUUUGUCUGUACUGGCGUGUAGAAUUUCUACCUUCUGGGGAACCAUCAUGUUAUUAAUUUGACGUGGUGGGAAACCAGGACCUUUACCUUGAAAAAAUUAGAGCGUUCAAAGCAGGCUUAUGUCUGAAUACAUUAGCAUGGAAUAAUAAAAUAGGACGGUGGUCCUGUUUUGUUGGUUUCUGAAUCACCGUAAUGAUUAAUAGGGAUAGUUGGGGGCAUUAGUAUUCAAUUGUCAGAGGUGAAAUUCUUGGAUUUAU